GGGAGCUUGCUCCCUGGAUCAGUGGCGAACGGGUGAGUAACACGUGGGCAAUCUGCCCCUGAUUCUGGGAUAACUACUCGAAAGAGUGGCUAAUACCGGAUACUCACGCUGGGAGGCAUCUUCCGGCGUGGAAAGCUCCGCGAUCAGGGAUGAGCCCGCGGCCUAUCAGCUAGUUGGUGGGGUAGUGGCCCACCAAGGCGACGACGGGUAGCCGGCCUGAGAGGGCGACCGGCCACACUGGGACUGAGACACGGCCCAGACUCCUACGGGAGGCAGCAGUGGGGAAUAUUGCUCAAUGGGCGCAAGCCUGAAGCAGCAACGCCGCGUGAGGGAUGAAGGUCUUCGGAUUGUAAACCUCUUUCAGCAGGGACGAAGCGAAAGUGACGGUACCUGCAAAAGAAGCACCGGCUAACUACGUGCCAGCAGCCGCGGUGAUACGUAGGGUGCAAGCGUUGUCCGGAUUUAUUGGGCGUAAAGAGCUCGUAGGCGGUUCAUCACGUCGAAUGUGAAAACUCGGGGCUUAACCCCGAGCCUGCAUUCGAUACGGGUGGACUCGAGUAUGGUAGGGGAGACUGGAAUUCCU
RNAcentral lists this ribosomal RNA (583 nucleotides) under uncultured Actinomycetes bacterium. Its description in RNAcentral is "bacterial SSU rRNA". It matches the Rfam family "Bacterial small subunit ribosomal RNA", at positions 74 to 671 of the family's 1533-position model. Lineage: Bacteria; Bacillati; Actinomycetota; Actinomycetes. The record is from RNAcentral.